This 77-nucleotide transfer RNA is filed under the name Chlamydiota bacterium. Its description in RNAcentral is "Chlamydiae bacterium tRNA-Asp". It matches the Rfam family "tRNA". From Rfam's summary of the family: Transfer RNA (tRNA) molecules are approximately 80 nucleotides in length. Their secondary structure includes four short double-helical elements and three loops (D, anti-codon, and T loops). Further hydrogen bonds mediate the characteristic L-shaped molecular structure. tRNAs have two regions of fundamental functional importance: the anti-codon, which is responsible for specific mRNA codon recognition, and the 3' end, to which the tRNAs corresponding amino acid is attached (by aminoacyl-tRNA synthetases). tRNAs cope with the degeneracy of the genetic code in two manners: having more than one tRNA (with a specific anti-codon) for a particular amino acid; and 'wobble' base-pairing, i.e. permitting non-standard base-pairing at the 3rd anti-codon position. The record is from RNAcentral. Lineage: Bacteria; Pseudomonadati; Chlamydiota. RNAcentral also lists the same sequence under 1 other name.
GCGGGUGUAGCUCAAUUGGUUAGAGCGCCGGCCUGUCACGCCGGAGGUUGAGAGUUCAAGUCUCUUCACUCGCGCCA